GAUGAACGCUAGCUACAGGCUUAACACAUGCAAGUCGAGGGGCAGCGGGAUUGAAGCUUGCUUCAAUUGCCGGCGACCGGCGCACGGGUGAGUAACGCGUAUCCAACCUUCCGUACACUCAGGGAUAGCCUUUCGAAAGAAAGAUUAAUACCUGAUGGUAUGAUGAGAUUGCAUGAUAGCAUCAUUAAAGAUUUAUCGGUGUACGAUGGGGAUGCGUUCCAUUAGGUAGUAGGCGGGGUAACGGCCCACCUAGCCAACGAUGGAUAGGGGUUCUGAGAGGAAGGUCCCCCACAUUGGAACUGAGACACGGUCCAAACUCCUACGGGAGGCAGCAGUGAGGAAUAUUGGUCAAUGGACGAGAGUCUGAACCAGCCAAGUAGCGUGAAGGAUGGAGGUCCUACGGAUUGUAAACUUCUUUUAUAAGGGAAUAAACCCUCCCACGUGUGGGAGCUUGUAUGUACCUUAUGAAUAAGCAUCGGCUAACUCCGUGCCAGCAGCCGCGGUAAUACGGAGGAUGCGAGCGUUAUCCGGAUUUAUUGGGUUUAAAGGGAGCGCAGACGGGUCGUUAAGUCAGCUGUGAAAGUUUGGGGCUCAACCUUAAAAUUGCAGUUGAUACUGGCGUCCUUGAGUGCGGUUGAGGUGUGCGGAAUUCGUGGUGUAGCGGUGAAAUGCUUAGAUAUCACGAAGAACUCCGAUUGCGAAGGCAGCACACUAAUCCGUAACUGACGUUCAUGCUCGAAAGUGUGGGUAUCAAACAGGAUUAGAUACCCUGGUAGUCCACACGGUAAACGAUGGAUACUCGCUGUUGGCGAUAUACUGUCAGCGGCUUAGCGAAAGCGUUAAGUAUCCCACCUGGGGAGUACGCCGGCAACGGUGAAACUCAA
This 884-nucleotide ribosomal RNA is filed under the name uncultured bacterium. RNAcentral's name for it is "bacterial SSU rRNA". It matches the Rfam family "Bacterial small subunit ribosomal RNA", at positions 28 to 904 of the family's 1533-position model. The record is from RNAcentral.